GAGAAAUGUAAAUGCUACAAGAAAAGGUUUCUAACCUUAGCUUUUGCGGCCUAAGCCCCGCUCUUUCUCC
This 70-nucleotide transfer RNA is filed under the name Lebbeus groenlandicus. Its description in RNAcentral is "tRNA-Ser". Lineage: Eukaryota; Metazoa; Arthropoda; Malacostraca; Decapoda; Hippolytidae. The record is from RNAcentral.